RNAcentral lists this long non-coding RNA (551 nucleotides) under Trifolium pratense (red clover). RNAcentral describes it as "long non-coding RNA (TPRA_LNC003182)". Lineage: Eukaryota; Viridiplantae; Streptophyta; Magnoliopsida; Fabales; Fabaceae. The record is from RNAcentral.
UAAACCGAAAUAACAUAUACCCCCCAAAAAGAAGGAAAAUUUAUGUGAAAAUUCGUGUAGAGCUACCUGUGGUAAAUUUAUCAUAUCUCUCUGAAUAUAGGUCGUAUGCUAAUAAUUUUUAAUCCAGUGUAAAGAAAACAAAAUUUACUACAAGAUUGACACCGGAAUUAUUAAAUUUCAUUAAGUAUAGUAUGAGAAAAUCUACCUACAAGUUUGAGAAAAGUUUCUGCAAAAUGUUGUAGAUAUACCUGUGGUAAAUUUAUCAUAGCUCUCUGAAUAUAAGUCGUAUGCUAAUGAUUUUUAAUCCAGUGUAAAGAAGACAAAAUUUACUACACAAUUGAAACCGGAAUUGUUAAAUUUCAUUAAGUAUAGUAUGAGAAACUCUACCUACAAGUUUGAGAAAAGUUUAUGCUCUGUUUCUGUACCAGUACACAUUAUUUGGUCAAACUGAACCAAUUGGAUAGUUAACCCUCAAAACAAAAAUUAUAUUUGUAUUCUUGACACCCUAAGCUUUCCAACGAGUGGUCGUUUACUCAAAUCGGACAUCGUUU